Molecule: ribosomal RNA, 242 nt
Filed under: uncultured bacterium
Lineage: Bacteria
Description: partial 16S ribosomal RNA
Rfam family: Bacterial small subunit ribosomal RNA
Source: RNAcentral
GAUCCUGGCUCAGGAUGAACGCUAGCUACAGGCUUAACACAUGCAAGUCGAGGGGCAGCAUGAACUUAGCUUGCUAAGUUUGAUGGCGACCGGCGCACGGGUGGGUAACACGUAUCCAACCUGCCGAUGACUCGGGGAUAGCCUUUCGAAAGAAAGAUUAAUACCCGAUGGCAUAGUUCUUCCGCAUGGUAGAACUAUUAAAGAACUUCGGUCAUCGAUGGGGAUGCGUUCCAUUAGGUUGG